AGAUCUCUACACGUUGAUCCUGAGAUAGGUAGUCGUUCAUCUCCAGUAUACACUUUCUUGUAUCCCUGAAAGGCUCUGGAACUGCAUUUUCUUCUUGAGCAACAAAUCCAUACCAUAAGGUGUUAUCGUAAGCAAUUAUUCCUCCAAUCUUAACUAAUUUCAGCAAUUGCUCAUGGUAAUUUUUGUAAUUGUGCUUAUCAGCAUCUACAAAUGCCAUGUCAAAUUCUUCUUUCUCCUGUUCCUGUUGUAAAUAUACAGAAAAAAAACACUAAAACAAAUAAAAUCCUAAUGUAGAUAUAUUUAGGCAAAACAUUUUAUGAAAGUAUGCAUACAUUGUUUAACAUUUCACUUAAUACUGAAGUAGCAUUAGAGUGAAUGAAAUUGAUUUUGUGCUCAACGCCUGCCUUGCGAAUGAAUGGUAAUCCAAAUUCAUAAGCUUCUUGAUCAAUGUCUAUUGCUGUUAUCUGUUCACAAAAUUUUUCAGCAGACCAAGGUUAAUUCUUCAUUUAAAAGGGAGGGAGAAAAAAAAAAGCCAGGUUUAUGCAGAACUGUAGAUAGGAACUCCAAAAUGAAUUAGUCCCAUACCAAAAAAAGGCGAAAAAAAGUAAGAAGAGUAUAUAAAUUACUCGGCCGUCAUGAGGCAAGGCAAGAGCAGUUGAAAGAAGAGAAUAGCCAGUAAAAACACCAAUCUCUAUUGUCCUUUUCGCGUUCAUCAUCUUCACAAGCAUUGAUAGGAACUGCCCUUCAUCAGCUGGUACUGACAUUAAGCUCCUACAAUUCAAAUUUUUUCAAACAUUUGUAAACUUUUCUAAUAUUUAUUGAUCAUAUAUAUAGUAAUUACUUACAGGUUUCCAUAUUUGUUCUCUGUAGCUUUUCGUAAAUUCUUGAGUUCCUCGUGCUCUCUUGGAUAUACACUUUUUUCAUAGAUAUACUGUAACAAAAUUUCAUAACUUUCAAAAAACAUUCAAUGGACAUAAUUCGAGUGCUUAAUGUCUUUUUCUCUAGAUAUACAAGUAACUAAUGCAAUUUAAAAUGCUUAAUUGCUGCGGUGAAGAUAAAUAAUUAAUUGCUUCGCAAUUAUUAAUUGAGCAGAGAUAAAAAGGAAGAAAAUAAAUCAGAGAUCAACCGACGAAACAAACUUUCUUAUAUAUAUAUAUAUAUAUAAACCUUCAAGAGAGCUUCGCUCUGGAGGAUUCCUUUACGAGGUAAACUAUACGCCAUGCCUGACGACUUCUUCUUCUUCCUCUUCUUCUUCUUCUUCUUCUUUUAACUUUGAUUUUAAAUCUAGUUUUGUAUCUCUUUUGCAUUAACACCGCGUGUCGUCUGCAUGCGCAAAUAAAGGAAAAUGAAAUCCGCCACAUGUGAAAGAAUGCAGCUCACGCCAAACGCCAAAAUUGGUAAAGUGUACAACACAGAAAACCUGAAUUCGGUUGGAGUGGGGCCUCCAAAUUUCAAUUCGCGUCAAGGCGGAAAUACCCAUCACCUCCUCUUCUCUAUUCAUGGAGAGUGUUAAGCCGGAUUAUGUUUUUUUAAAAUUUGUAACGGAUAAUUUUAUACAGUAAAUUAUAUCAAAUAUAGACAUAAAUAUGAAUAAUAUAAAAAAAUUCAAUUUUUUUAUUAUCUGAUAUAUCUUCUUUAAAAUGAGUUUUUAAAAAUUUCAUAUAAUUUUUUUAUUCCAAAACAAACUAAAAGAAUGAAAAAAAUGAAAUAAGUUAUAUGAUAAUAUAAAGUAACAAGAAUAGUUUAGAUAGCUCACUAUAAUAAAUUAUUAAAAAAUCAUUGAUUCAAAAAUUUGACUGGUAAAAAAUAUAAUUUGAAAGGCUGAAAUAGUAAAAUAGAUAAAAUUUAGACAGUAAAUUCAUAAUUAUCCAUUUGUGUCCAAUUGAUCUUGGACUGCCACAAAUUUUGUAUGGUUAAAAUAAAUUAUAAUUUUCAUUUUAAUCGGACCUAGCAAUUGGCAAUAUUAUUCUUUUAUUUACAAAUAAAUCAAAUCAAGUUGGUAUAAUUAUACUCCGCUUGAUCCUCAAUUUGAUGGAUCUACCGUAUUCAGAUUAUAGUUAUUAAAAUCCGAAUUUAGAUCAUAUAAUUUUGUAGUUUUACUAUGAAAUUUAAUUAAUUAAUUUAAUGUUAGAAAGAAUUUUUUCUCUAUUAGAAUUAUAAAAUCUUCACAAACCAGAGAAUAAUAACAACUUGAGCUCAAGAUCAUUAGGAUCGUAUAAAAUCUUAUAAGAUUGCCGUUGAAUUAGGAUUGUACGUAAUUAAAGUUGACCACUUUUCCAAAAUGGUAUUUAAAAAUUAUUUGCAUCAAUGGUGUUGUUCUGAAUUGUUACACUGUGGCAAUUUAUGUAUCUUAACAAAUGAAUUGUUACACUGGCAAUUUUUUAAGACUGUCUGACUCUCUUUAAAUAGUGGUUCCGUUUUUUUUUUUUUUUUUUCCCUGCUAUUAGCAGCAAGCAGGGUUAAAAUAGAAAAAUAAAAUUGAACAAAACCAAUCUAAUUUAAUUUUUCAUUUCGGCUAUUGAAGUUGAUGGAUUUGAUUUAUCUUAAGGUUUUAGAUAAUUUUAAUUUUUAAUUUUUAAUUCGGUUAUAAAAAAUAAGUUCAAUUCGCUAAAAAAUAUUUGUACAUUCAUAUACCGGAUCAUAAUAUAUAUCAUCUUUAUUUUACAAUCAACGAAUUCUAUUUCCAUUGCAAGUAUUUAUUGCUGAAAAUCAACGAAAUCCAAUGCUAUUUAUAAUUUUAUUUUAUGGAUAAUAAUAACAAAACACCAUCUAUCAUGUCAAAUGUAAUAAACAAACUUUAAAUAGCAAUGCAAAAUGAUAUUAAAUUCUCAAUAGAGACGCCUACAGAGAGUAACACCGUCGCCAAUAGAAACUUGCGAGAUCUCUACACGUUGAUCCCGAGACAGGUAGUCAUUGAGUUCCUGUAUAGCUUUUGUCCAGUCCCUGAAAGGCUCUGGAACUUCAUUUUCUUCUUGAGCUACAAACCCAUGCCAUAAGGUGUUAUCAUAAGCAAUUAUCCCUCCAACCUUAACUAAUUUCAACAACUGCUCAUGGUAAUUUUUGUAAUUGUGCUUAUCUGCAUCUACAAAUGCUAUGUCAAAUUCUUCUCUCUCAUUUUCCUGUUGUGUAAGACCAAAAACAAAAUAAAUAAAUUCCUAAUAUAGAUGUAAUUAGGCUAAAAUUUUCUGGAGUAUGCUUACGUACAUUGUUUAGCAUUUUGGUUAAUACGGAAAUAGCAUCAGAUUGAAUGAAAUUUAUUUUGUGCUCGACGCCUGCCUUGCGGAUGAAUGGUGCUCCAACUUCAUAAGCUUCUUUAUCAAUGUCUAUAGCUGUUAUCUGUUCACAAAAUUUCUCAGCAGAUCAAGGUUUUUUCACUAAAAGUAGAAAAAGAAAAGAUAAAAGUAAUAAGAGUAUAUAAAUUACCCGGCCAUCAUGAGGCAAGGCAAGUGCAGUUGAAAGAAGGGAAUAGCCAGUAAAAACACCGAUCUCUAUCGUCCUUUUGGCGUUCAUAAUCUUAACAAGCAUUGAUAGGAAUUGCCCUUCAUCAGCUGGUACUGACAUUAUGCUCCUGCAAUCGGAAUUUUCAAAAAAAUUAGAAACUGUUCUAAUAUUUAUGGAAUAUAUGGAAAUUAAUUACUUACCUGUUUCCAUAUUUGUUCUCAGUAGCUUUUCGUAAAUUCUUGAGUUCCUCGUGCUCUCUUGGAUAUGCACUUGUUUCAUAGAUAUACUGUAACAAAAUUUCUAAACUUUUAAAACAUUAAAAAAACAUAAUUCGAGUUCUUAAUAUCUUUUUCUCUGUGGUGAGUAUUAGUAAUUAAUUCCUUCGCAGAGAUAAAAAAGAAGAAAAAGAAAAAAGAGAACCAAUGGAAACACAUAUAUAGUUCUCAAGGAGAGAAAUUGCAGGGUUGAGAAAUAUAUUAUAUACGAAUGACCUUCUUCAGAGCUUCGCUCUGCAGGAUUCCUUCAGGAGGUAAAACAUUCGCCAUGCCUCACUUUCUUCUUCUUCUCACUUUAACAAAAAUGCAGGCAAUUAAUAUAUAUUGGAAUGUUCCUAAUGAUUUACUGAGUGGUGUGAAGCUUAUGUGAUAUAUUUAUUGAUAGUAGAGUGUUUUCCUAAAAGUCAGGUUUAAAUCUCAACAAACAUUUUCUUAUUUUUUUUUCAUUGGAAUUUCAUUUUUUUUUUCUGAAAUAUUAUGAUUAUAAUUUAUUUAAACAGAUAAAGUACUUAUCUAAUUUUUUUUAUCGAUAAAUUUAUAUUUUUUUUAUCUUUUCAUAAAUUUAAAUUCAAAUAUAAAAUUUCCGAAAACAAAUUCAAAUAUAAUUUAAUUUUUUUUUUUUUUUUGAAAAGGCACUAACAAUAUUAUUAAUGAAUCAUCUCAGCAAUUUAGAGAGAGAUACAAAUCUGAGUAGAGUUAUAAGAAUAAACUGUUAUUUGUGGUUUUAAGGUUUAAUCAAAUAAAUCAUUUAAAUUUUUAAUAGGAAGUAAAAGUGACUAAUUUUGUGUCUGUUGAGAUACAACGAGAUUUAUGACAUCAUAUAUAUAUAUUUUUUGAUAUUGUUCUUAUUCUUUUUUUUUUUUUUUUUUUUGAAAUGGUUGUUAUUCAAAUUUAAGCAAUUAAUAGAGGCAAAAUUUACGUUUUUUUCAAAAAAAUUAAAAUUAAAAUUUUAAAUUUUAAAUUUUAAAUUGAGAAAUUAUUUUCUUUUUUUUAAAAAAAAAACAGUUUAGAACAAAUCAUUCUCACAUUGUAAAAUCUGCCAAGGAAUCAAGAAGAAGAAAAAGAGUCAGUAAAUGACAACGGCUAACUGAGAAAACUGAGAGAUUGUUUCAUUGUUUGCGAGAAUACUUAGAUUUUGAGAAAAUUAAAAUUCUACCAAUAUAUAUAUAUAUAUAUAUAUAUAUAGGAAAUUUCUACUAAUAUAUGAAUAAACAUUUUAAAUUUUAAACUUUUACUUACUCUUGAGCCAAAAUCACAUUAAUUUAAAAAAUUAUUAAAUAACUGCUUUUUAAAUAUUAAGAAAAAAUAAUAAGUAAUCUAAAAGAAGAAUAAAUAAUUUUUAAAUAGCUGUAACGGCUUUGCUUAAAAAUUUGAACUAUUUUUUUUUUCUAAAAGAAAAUUCACAUAAUAUCUUUUUGCAGUUUCCUACUGAUCCAUGCACAAAUACAAGUAGAUAAAAAGCGUGCAGGAUUCCUUGCAAAUUGAACCUUUUCUUGAGAAAUAUUAUUGUGAAUCCUAGUGAAACAAAUUGCUCUUAUAUUCAUUGGUUAAGACGAAAUAAAGCAGUUCUUUCAGCUGAAAUUGUAGAUGCUUUGAAAUGCUUUGCCUAUCGUUGAAAUUAUUAAAUUUAAGAAUAGAAAUUUGCAUACCAAUUUUUCAGAUUGGGCUUCGUUUCCCCUUAUUGUUUAUGACAGUUUGCAUGGUCCAAAUGGGAAUUUGCAUCCUGAUCAUGAUUUGAUUGGUUGCGUUACACCUUUGCCUGGUUUUUUCAAAUUUAAUGGAGAUGGUUCAGCACUUGGUGAACUGGGUCCAAGUAUGAAUGGGUGUUUUGAAAAAUUCAUUAGGUGAAGUUUGUCUGCAUUCUAUAAAAAAGUUGAAAUUUUGGAUUCUAAUGAAGUUGAGAUUCUUGCCACUUUUGAAGCUAUUCAAAAUUUUGCUUCUUCUGUACUGGAUGUUACAUGAAAAUAAGCGACUCUGGACAUGGUAAAAAAGUUUUAAUAAAAUGGAAGCUCUCGAUUAUUUAUAGUUAUUUUUAUUUCGUGUUUACUUAAUUGUAAGUGAGUUUUUUAAAGUUAUUUUACAUCUCUUUUUCUUCUCCAUGGAAAAGGAGAGGUUUCCAAGAUCAAGUUGUAUUGUUUUUGUCAGGUUUUUAUUUAAUAUUUCCAGGCUAGUUAUGGGUAUAUUAAGGAAGCCUAUUGGCUUGGAAUAAUUUUUUCUGAUUUUUUAAAUUCUAAUAAAAUUUUGUUGCUGAAAAGAAAAAAUGAUAAAAAAGAUAACCUCACGAGGACACGGAGACGGGAUGGGUUCCCCAAAUUUCAAUUCAGCUUCUUCCAACUUCCAUAAAAGCAUGGGAGGUGUCGGUGGCUCCCCAUUAUUUGUGUUAGUAUAAUUAUAAACUCACUCCCCUGAAAAGAUAAAUUUAUCUCAUAUUGAAAAUAUAUAAGAUCACAAAACCUAUAUCAUUUUAUAUAGGUAACCCUAAUUCAUAUAAACUCAAAUUAUUGAAUGAAUUAUUAAUUGAAUUUGAUAAAUUACCCUUAGGGCGCAAAUUUAACAAUUUAUGUAUAUUUUAGCAAAUUUUUUUGUCGAAAUAUUAAAAUGAAUAAUUUUAAUUCAUACAUAAGUUGCAGUCCACUAAUAAAUCCAUAGAGCCAACACAUGAAUAAUUGAAAUCAUCAUAAUAUUUAUAUUUCAACCAAAUUUUAGAUUUGAUAUUACUACUAUUAGAAUAUGUUUAUAAUUUGUGAAACCUAUUUUAAAUUAAUUUUGCUGAAUUUUUGAAGAAUUUAUUUAACUCAUAGAGUCAUUUUGAAUCUGUAUUCAAUCUAAUCGUUACAUUCUCAAUAAAACACCAUCUAUCAUGUUUUACAGCUGCAACAGAGACAAAAUCUAUAUAUACGCCAUGUAACUAUGGUAGAAACAUUCUCAAUAGAGACGCCUACAGAGAGUAACACCGUCGCCAAUAGAAACUUGCGAGAUCUCUACACGUUGAUCCCGACACAGGUACUCAUUGAGUUCCUGUAUAGCCUUUGUCCGGUGCCUGAAAGGCUCUGGAACUUCAUUUGCUUCUUGAGCUACAAAUCCAUAACACAAGGUGUUAUCGUAAGCAAUUAUUCCUCCAACCUUAGCUAAUUUCAACAAUGGCUCAUGGUAAUUUUUGUAAUUGUGCUUAUCAGCAUCUACAAAUGCAAUGUCAAAUUCUUCUCUCUCCUUUUCCUGUUGUGUAAAAAAAAAAAAGAAAGAACAAAAUAAAUAAAAUCCUAAUAUAUAUACAAUUAGGCUAAAAUUUUCUGGAAGUAUGCUUACAUUACUUAACAUUUCGGUUAAUACUGAAAUAGCAUCAGACUGAAUGAAAUUUAUUUUGUGCUCGACGCCUGCCUUGCGGAUGAAUGGUACUCCAACUUCAUAAGCUUCUUUAUCAAUGUCUAUAGCUGUUAUCUGUUCACAAAUUUUCUCAGCAGAUCAAGGUUUUUUCACUAAAAGUAGAAAAAGAAAAGAUAAAAGGAAGAAGAGUAUAUAAAUUACCCGGCCAUCAUGAGGCAAGGCAAGUGCAGUUGAAAGAAGAGAAUAGCCAGUAAAAACACCGAUCUCUAUCGUCCUUUUGGCGUUCAUAAUCUUCACAAGCAUUGAUAGGAAUUGCCCUUCAUCAGCUGGUAUUGAAAUUUUGCUCCUGCAAUUCAUAUUUUCAAAAAAAUUAGAAAGUUUUCUAAUAUUUAUGGAAUAUAUGGAAAUUAAUUACUUACCUCUUUCCAUAUUUGUUCUCAGUAGCUUUUCGUAAAUUCUUGAGUUCCUCGUGCUCUCUUGGAUAUGCACUUGUUUCAUAGAUAUACUGUAACAAAAUUUCUAAAUUUUUAAUACAUUAAAAGGACAUAAUUCGAGUUCUUAAUACAUUUUUUCUCUGUGGUCAAUAUUAAUAAUCAAUUCCUUCGUUGAGAUAAAAAAGAAGAAAAAGAAAAAACAGAAAUUGCAGUGUUGAGAUAUAUAUUAAAUACAAAUAACCUUCUGUAGAGCUUGGCUCUGGAGGAUUCCUUUCGGAGGUAAAGCAUUCGCCAUGCCUGACUUGCUUCUUCUUCUCACUUUAACAAAAGUGCAGCAAUAUAUAUUUGAAUGUUCAUAAUGAUUUUUUGUGUGAUGUGAAACAUAUGUUGGUUGCUCGUGAGAUAUUUAUUGACAGUUGAGUUAUACCAAGCAGCUUUACGCCAAACGCCAAAAUUAGUGAGUUAUACAAACAGAGCCUCAUGGGGACAUGGGUUUGACGGAGUGGGUUCUCCAAAUGUCAAUUCAGCCUUUUUCCAACUACCAAACAAGCAUUGCCAGCGGCCGCAGAGCUAAAAAUAUCUACCGGUCAGAUCAUUUUAUUUAAUUUGAUUUUUUAGUGGUUAAUUAGAUUAAAAAUUUUAAAAGUUUUUCACUUAAUAUAUAUAUAUAUAUAUAUAAAAUUUUUUUUAUCAAUUUAAUCACGUUUUAUAAAUAUUUUUUAAAAAAUUGAGUGAGAUCAACUAACCCUACUUCACAUAGCGGGGUGCUGUCCUGAUGGGGAGGUGUUGGCUGGCUUCUCAUCAUUUGUUAGGCUGCAUUCGACAAAAACUUUUUAAAACUCCAUUCGGUAAUAACAUUUGAGGGAGAGUUUAGAAUUUUGAAUGUGUCAAAACACUAUUUUUAUAAAUUAUAUCAUUCAGUUGUUAGUGAAUAAUAUAUCUUUAUUGAAAUAUUAAUACAUGUAAGAGUUUCCAUUUUUUUAUUAAAUUUUUUUGACAAUUAUGUCCUUAAUUAACUCAUAUUAUCCUUAUCCUUAAUUAACUUAUAUUAUCCUUAUAUUAACAUUAGUUUAAAGUGUUUUGCUAUAUAACACUACAAAUCUGCAAUUAAGUUAAAAAAUUACAUUAUUUUACACAAAAAUUUAAACAAAAUAAUUUAAUAAUGAAUUAACAGAGAAAUACGUGAGGGAAUUGUAUUAUCAUUUUAAAGUGAUAAUGAUUUCAAUUUAUCUAAUUGGACUAUACAUAAAUUGACAUUUUUUUUUUAUAAUGAGUCAACUACUGUAUUCAUAAGUUAAAAUUCAAACUUAAUAUUUAAAUGUCUCUUUUUAUCAUUUUAAAUUCAAUAUCUAAUUAAAUAACUAUUUUUACCGAAUACUUUUACUCUAAACAGUUAUAUAAACAACUAAUAUCCAACAGCUAACAGUUUUUAAAACAGUUAACAGCUCGUAAGACCGCUAACAACUAUUAAAGUAUUGUCGAACAAGCUCUAAGUAGCUUAUUAAAAUAUUAAACCCUAUUUUUUAUAGUUUUUGGUAACAUACGUUUAAAUUAGCUUUUAAAGAUUAAAACAACGUUUUAUACAAAAAUUAACUCAUAUAAUAUGUUAUGAAAAGUUGCUCAAACAGUUAAUAUGUAAACACUACUAAAAUGGCUAAAGAGCUAUCAAAACAACUAAACAGUUACCAAAACAAUUAAUUAACUCAUAAAUUUUUAGAAUUUAUUUUUUUUAUUUAUAUUGUUUAUGAUUUAUUUAAUUAACUCAUAGAUUCACGUUGAAACUGUAUUCAAUCUAACGCUUACGUAUUCAACCAAAGCAAAUAUUCGACCCAAAUGCAACCCUCUAAUGAUUUUAUUUUAUGGAUGAUAGUAAUAAAACACCAGUAUCUAUCAUUCUCAAUAGAGACGCCUGCAUAGAGUAACACCAUCACCAAUAGAAACUUGUGAGAUCUCUACACGUUGAUCCUGAGACAGGUAGUCGUUCACUUCUAGUAUAGCGUUUCUUGCGUCCCUGAAAGGCUCUGGAACUGUAUUUUCUUCUUCAACUACAAGUCCGAACAAUAAGGUGUUAUCAUAAGCAAUUAUUCCUCCAACCUUAACUAAUUUCAACAAUUGCUCAUGGUAAUUUUUGUAAUUUUCUUUGUCAGCAUCUACAAAUGCAAUGUCAUAUUCUUCUUUCUCGUUCUGCUGUUGUAUUCAAAAAAAAAAAAAAAAAAAAAAAAAAAAAACAUCAAAUCAAAUAAAACCUAAUAUAAAUAUAUAUAGUUAAGCUGAAAUUUUAAUACUUAUGUUAUUUACCAUUUUGGUUAAUGCUGAAAUAGCAUUAGAUUGAAUGAAUUUGAUUUUGUGCUCGACGCCUGCCUUGCGAAUGAAUGGUAAUCCAAAUUCAUAAGCUUCUUGAUUAAUGUCUAUUGCUGUUAUCUGUUCACAAAAUUUCUCAGCAGACCAAGAUUACUUUUUCAUUAGAGAGAGAGAGAGAGAGAGAGAGAGAGAGAGAGCAUGCUUAAAUUCUUGAAUUCUUUAGAAAAAAAAAGUUGCAUCCCGAAAAAUACUUACCGGAGAGGCAGCUACCAACCCUAAAACAAAAUUAUUCUCGUUCUAAAAAAUAAUGCGGAGAAAUUGAAGGGGUCGAAAGAGUAUAUAUUAUAAUUACCUGGCCAUCAUGAGGCAAGGCAAGGGCAGUGGAAAGAAGAGAAUAACCAGAAAAAACACCAAUCUCUAGUGUCCUUUUAGCGUUCAUUAUCUUCACAAGCAUUGAUAAGAAUUGACCUUCAUCAGCUGGUACUGCCAUCAUGCUCCUGCAAUUCAAAUUUCAAACAUUUAUAAAAUUUUCUAAUAUUUAUUGUGUAUAUAUACAUAUUAAUUACUCACAGGUUUCCAUAUUUGUUUUCUGUAGCUUCUCGCAAAUUCUUGAGUUGCUCAUGCUCUCUGGGAUAUACACUAGUUUCAUAGAUAUACUGUAACAAAAAUUUUUAAAUUUUGAAUACAUUAUACAGAUAGAUAUAACACAAUCUUCUCCAAAAAACAAUAUUUAAAAAACCUUCAUUAGAGCUUCACUCUGUAGGAUUUCUUUAGGAGGUAAAAUGGGCACCAUGCUAACUACUACAGUAGUACUACUACUUUUUAACUUCAACAAAAAUGCAGUAAUAUAUUGGAAAGCUCCUACAAAUUUAUGGGUGUGAAAGCAUAUUUUCGAUUGAUGGGGACAAGACUUGCUUAAAAGGUAGGUUAGUUUAAACCUCAAAAAUCAUUUUUCUUUAAAAGAGUUGAGUUUCAAAAGAAUUAAACAUUCUAUUAAUAAUAUUUUCAAAAAAAAAAUUCUAAUAAUAAUAAUAAUAUAUGAAAAGAGUAUAUCUUCAUUUUUUUAAUAAUUAAUACAUUUAAAUCACAUUAAUAUAAAAAUAAUUGAAUAAUUUAUUUUUUAAAAUUUUAAAGAUUUUUUUUAAGUAUUGGAGAAGAGAUUCAAACCUGGAUCUAUUGUCAGAUCGUAAAUAUAUUUAUCACUAAACUACGUCUUAAUGUGCAAAAAAAAAUUUUUGUUUUGUAAGAACCUAGAAUAGUUAAUCACCUCUGACGUUACACGUAAAGCUUUUGAGCUCUCUUGCAAGUAACAAUAAAAUAAAGGUAUCAUGAAACUUCCUCGUAAAAAAUCUCAAUAAAAAAAUUAACGUACUAAUUAAAUAUUAUAUCUAUAAAAUUAUUUUAUUGAGAAUUUGAUAAUUAUAAAAGUAGAUUGCUUUAACACUAAAUGAAAAUUUAAAAAAAUAUAAAAAUUAUUAUUUCAAAAUUAUAUUAACCACGCAUCAAAUUAAUAUUCUAUUUGAAAAGACCGUUGUUAAUUGAAAAGUUGUAUAAUAUUAUAAAAUCCCUAAUUUUAUAAGCAUAAUAAUUUCCCUUGAAAUUUUAGGUGCCAUAAAUUUUUUUUCAAACAAUAGAGGGAGAAAUUUAUAUUACAUGUUGUCAAAAUUCAAAGGCAAUGAUGUAUGUAUAUGGUUAAUCAUCACUUUAUCAUAAAAUGGAGAAUAAAAGAAUCAUAUAUAUAACAUAUUACACAGUAAUACUUUUAUUAAAAAAUUAAAAAAAUAGUAAAAUAAAAAUAAAAAUGAGGAGAACAACAUAUUAUUUUUAAGUAAAAGUAUCAUCCCAUUAUUCUGCAACAAGUAACAUUUAAAAUUUUGACCAGAAUUAAAAUAUUAUUUUUAUUAAUUAUAAUAUUCAGUAAUAUAAUAUUUAUAAUAAUAAAUUAGACGUAUAUAGCAAUUAAUUGAACUUUUUUAAAUUAUUUUAUAUUUAAUAGUUAAUUAAAUAAUUAUUUUUAUUAAAUAUUCUUAUUUUAAACUAUUUUGUAUAAAUAAUUAACUACAAAUAACUAAUAUUUAAUAUAAUUAACAGCUAAAAAAACAAUUAAGUGAUAACUAAUUGAAUAGCCAACAACAAUAACUAAUAUCAAUUAACACGUCAUGGUUUUAUACGGUAAUUAUGGAAAAGUAAAGUUUAUUACUUUUCAUAAUACUAAUUAUUUAUAAUAAGUAAGGUGGUCUGUCUCUAUCGCUACAAGAAAAAAAGAUAAGGCUCCAUCAACAAAAUAACAAAAGAACGUCAAAUGAGAGGAAAGAAAAAUGCCAAACGAAAGGUUGUUGGAAAGCUACUCUUUUAUUGAUUUUUUUUAUAUUUCAUCAGAAGUUUUUAGAUUACAAUAACGAAGUUAUUGGUCUAACUAUGAAUGAUUAAUGCACGAAAAUAUCAAUUUCGUUAACGAUAGGUGGUUGGAUAAGAAAAGGUGGAUAACAUGUCUGUAAGCUUCGUCUAUGACAUUAAGGCCUUGUUGACAAUAAUUUUUUAAUUAGCUUUCAAUAUUUUUAUCGGUUAAAACGCUAAAAAUAGUGUUCAAUAACAUAAUAUUUAAAUUAAUUUUUAGAAGUUAAGAUAAUGUUUUAUUAAAAAUUAACCCAUAUAAUAUUUAGCUUUUUUCAUUUUAUAAAAACUAUUUAAAUGACUAACAACUGAACACUGUUAUAACAACUAUCAAAACAACAAAUUUUACCGAAUAGAUCCUAAGUUUUAAAAUGGAUCAAAUGUAAAAGCUACUAAUUGAGAAUCAGAAAAACUUAAACCAAUAGAAUUGGUUUAAAUGAAAAUCACUCAAGUCAUUUAAGUAAGAAGUCUAAGGCUGUAUUUGACAAAAAGUUUUUUAGGUAACUUUUAGCGUUUUGUCUGGUUAAAAUGUUACUAUUUAAAAAAUUUUUCAGUAACAUAAUGUUUGGAUUAGACUUUAGAAGUUAUGGUAGCGUUUUGUGAAAAUUUAACUCAUGGCGUUUCAUUAAAAAAAAUACAAAAACAGCUAACAGCUAAACGCUACUAAAACAGCUAAUAAAUAACAAAACAGCUAAACGCUACUAAAACAGUUGAUAGAUAACAAAAUAGUUAAUUUUGUCGAACAAACUCUAAGUGCUCCUUCAUGAAGAAAAUUUUCAUUGUGACAAAGUAAUUUAAUUAACAAUAAAGGUUGAAUUUUCUACACCUAAAAUUUUCUACACCUAACUAUGUAUAUUGCUUCUAUGUUUUUGUACGCCUUAAUGAAGGAAAACCUUCUCUUUUUUAUAGGAGAAGGGGACGCGGUGGACGCGCGUUAAUCACGCGUCUACUUCUCUUUUUUUUUUUUCUUUUCAAAUGUGUGUGGGUCUUAUAUGUUGGAGGGACCCUACAACAACAUUAAGGAAGUCUAUUGGCUCGAGAUAAUUUUUCCUGAUUUUUGUAAUUCUAAAUAAAAUUUUGUUGCUGAAAAGAAAAAAUGAUAAAAAAGAUAACCUCACAAAGAUAUGGAGACGGGCGUGGGUUCCCCAAAUUUCAACUCAGCUUCUUCCAACUUCCAUAAAAGCAUGGGAGGUCUCGGUGGCUCCCUAUUAUUUGUGUUAGUACAAUUAUAUACUCCCUCCCCUAAAAAGAUAAAUUUAUCUCAUAUUGAAAAUAUAUAAGAUCACAAAACCUAUAUCAUUUUAUAUAGGUAACCCUAAUUCAUAUAAACUCAAAUUAUUGAAUGAAUUAUUAAUUGAAUUUGAUAAAUUACCCUUAGGGCGCAAAUUUAACAAUUUAUGUAUAUUUUAGCAAAUUUUUUUGUCGAAAUAUUAAAAUGAAUAAUUUUAAUUCAUACAUAAGUUGCGGUCCACUAAUAAAUUCAUAGAGCCAACACAUGAAUAAUUGAAAUCAUUAUAAUAUUUAUAUUUCAACCAAAUUUUAGCUUUGAUAUUACUACUAUUAGAAUAUGUUUAUAAUUUGUGAAACCUAUUUUAAAUUAAUUUUGCUGAAUUUUUGAAGAAUUUAUUUAACUCAUAGAGUCAUUUUGAAUCUGUAUUCAAUCUAAUCGUUACAUUCUCAAUAAAACACCAUCUAUCAUGUUUUACAGCUGCAACAGAGACAAAAUCUAUAUAUACGCCAUGUAACUAUGGUAGAAACAUUCUCAAUAGAGACGCCUACAGAGAGUAACACCGUCGCCAAUAGAAACUUGCGAGAUCUCUACACGUUGAUCCCGAGACAGGUACUCAUUGAGUUCCUGUGUAGCCUUUGUCAGGGGCCUGAAAGGCUCUGGAACUUCAUUUUCUUCUUGAGCUACGAAUCCAAACCACAAGGUGUUAUCGUAAGCAAUUAUUCCUCCAACCUUAACUAAUUUCAACAAUGGCUCAUGGUAAUUUUUGUAAUUGUGCUUAUCAGCAUCGACAAAUGCAAUGUCAAAUUCUUCUCUCUCCUUUUCC
This 14223-nucleotide long non-coding RNA is filed under the name Jatropha curcas. RNAcentral describes it as "long non-coding RNA (JCUR_LNC001237)". The record is from RNAcentral. Lineage: Eukaryota; Viridiplantae; Streptophyta; Magnoliopsida; Malpighiales; Euphorbiaceae.